This 429-nucleotide ribosomal RNA is filed under the name Chloroflexota bacterium. Its description in RNAcentral is "Chloroflexi bacterium partial 16S ribosomal RNA". It matches the Rfam family "Bacterial small subunit ribosomal RNA", at positions 355 to 776 of the family's 1533-position model. The record is from RNAcentral. Lineage: Bacteria; Bacillati; Chloroflexota.
UGGGGAAUAUUGCACAAUGGGCGCAAGCCUGAUGCAGCCAUGCCGCGUGUAUGAAGAACGCCUUCGGGUUGUAAAGUACUUUCAGUCGGGAGGAAGGUGUCAAGGUUAAUAACCUUGGCAAUUGACGUUACCGACAGAAGAAGCACCGGCUAACUCCGUGCCAGCAGCCGCGGUAAUACGGAGGGUGCAAGCGUUAAUCGGAAUUACUGGGCGUAAAGCGCACGCAGGCGGUUGAUUGAGUCAGAUGUGAAAUCCCCGGGCUUAAACCGGGAAUUGCAUCUGAUACUGGUCAGCUAGAGUCUUGUAGAGGGGGGUAGAAUUCCAUGUGUAGCGGUGAAAUGCGUAGAGAUGUGGAGGAAUACCGGUGGCGAAAGCGGCCCCCUGGACAAAGACUGACGCUCAGGUGCGAAAGAGUGGGGAGCAAACAGG